RNAcentral lists this ribosomal RNA (253 nucleotides) under uncultured bacterium. Its description in RNAcentral is "partial 16S ribosomal RNA". It matches the Rfam family "Bacterial small subunit ribosomal RNA", at positions 524 to 776 of the family's 1533-position model. The record is from RNAcentral.
UACGAAGGGGGCUAGCGUUGCUCGGAAUCACUGGGCGUAAAGCGCACGUAGGCGGCUUUUUAAGUCAGGGGUGAAAUCCUGGAGCUCAACUCCAGAACUGCCUUUGAUACUGGGAAGCUUGAGUCCGGGAGAGGUGAGUGGAACUCCGAGUGUAGAGGUGAAAUUCGUAGAUAUUCGGAAGAACACCAGUGGCGAAGGCGGCUCACUGGCCCGGUACUGACGCUGAGGAGCGAAAGCCAGGGGAGCAAACGGG